UGCAGGAGGCCAGCUUCCUAGCACCCCACUCUAGAGAAGUGGCGAUCCCUACAAGCAUGUAGCACGGGCUCUGUCGAUUGGCCCACCUUGGCAGGCUGUCCUUUGGACUCUGUUGUGUGAAGCCACCUGCCUGCCCUAUAGUUCCAUUUUUUGGAAUUUGGGGGGAAACAAAACCACCACCAACAAAAAGAUGUCCCCCUUUCCUGGGGCUCAAUCCUGGUACUGAGUUGCUGUCAACAGAGCACCCUGGUACCAGAGAGCAGACAUUAGUGAGAAAGAAGGUGUUGGUGUGAACCCAGGGUCAGCUCCUGAGUUCCUAGAUGGGGGCUUAGGGACGGAGAGGGAAUGGAGCUGACAUCAGUUACUGUGGAGAAAAAAUUCAUCUUACUUGUAAUUCAACGUCACUCACAUUCAGUGGGGGAAAUCAUGAGGUUAGUGAUAAUUUUUCUCGGGUUUUAUUUUCUUAAUCUAACAUGCCACCUUCUAGAAUUUUCUCUCAAAGUUUCUAGAUUGAUAGUUUUUAAAAGGAGGGCUUGAUGUCUUCUCAACGCACAUAGAACAUAUGGAUGGCAGUCUUGCUGUUAACAAUGAUCUAAGGAGUUUUAUACUUUUUGUUUUUUUCUCUUUGUGGGCACCAUGUUUAGUGUUUGAACAUUAAAAAGGAAGGCUUCACUGGAGCAAGACUGAUAGUUGUUAGCUGCUCUUCCUCAUGGUGGCUAAAAUAGGAUUAUGCAUAACUCAUACAUUUGUACACUGCACAUUUUUCAUAAAAUGUUCCUACAAAGUUUCUGCCAAAACACAAAAGAUAUACCAACACUGACUGCUCUUACUUCUAGUAAUUUAUUAUAGCUUUUAAAAAUAAGCUUGUAAAAUAUGUUUGAUUUUCUUUACUUGGAACAGUAUAAUUUUAGGGGAAAAUCUUAUUGAAAAAAUGGUGAGUGAGCUGAGCAUAGUGACAGGUGGCUGUGAUCCCAGCACUUAGGAAAAGCAAGAGGCUCAUGUGUUAGAGGUCUGCCAGGCCUACACAGCAAGGCCUUGUCUUACAAGGCCACGUGCUGAUGGUAUGGCUCAGGGUGGGUGCCUCCCUCACAUAGGUGAGGCCCCGUGUUUCAGCCUCUCCCUUCCACAGGUGAAGCUCCAGGCUAUUCUGUGACCCCAACUCUCGUUCACAUUAGGCUUGGUGUGUGCUCAUCCUCACCGUGAGCUAACCUGCCAUGGAAGGGGAGCACGUCCAUCAGGUGAGUAUGAGCCACGCUGGGCAGCAGACACCAGCUAAUAAGGUGAUGCCCAUUCGCAGACAGGACUGAAUCAAAGUGGGACACCGCACAGAUGCGUGUGACAGUUUCCCAUCGGCUAAGUGAAGCUGUUUUGGUUGUGCUACUGGCUGUCCACGCCAGUAUGAUAGAGCCUUGCAGGUGGAGGGGAUAGAACUCAGCACUAACCUCAUAGUGGGUUACCUCCGGGUAAUGUCUGGUCUCUCAUCUUCACAUCAAGGAAGAUAGAAGUAAAAAUGACCCUUUCCCACCUUGUUUCUCUAGAGAUAUUCCUAAGUCUCAGCUAUACACAUCAUAUAUAACUUUUUAUUAUUAACUAUAGUAGUAUAAUAAUAGCUAUGAAAUGUGUACCAAAUACCGUGCUAGCACAUGCAUGUUCCUGUUUUCAUUUAAUCCUCAUGAGAAUGUUGGAGGAUGUUAUUCCCGAUCUUUAUGGAUGAGACCUGAAGAGAACAGAGGUGAAGAAGUUCAGGUCCAGUCUUACCAGGUAGCCCUCUCAAAUGCAGUACUGGUUUGUGAAGUGUUUGCUAAUCUACUAAGCACUGGCAGUGAAGACACAGAAGGGAUCAAAUACAUGUCAAAUGUGAAGGCACCCAGAUUGGGGGUAGGCAACUAGUUGCUUAGGACUACUGGCUAAAAAUAAUACUCUCUAUAUAUACCAGAAGUUCAUAUAUAUAUAUAUAUAUACACACACACCAGAAGUUUCCCAAUGAGAAAUGUCCCAGAAAAACAGUUUUUAAAGAUGAGGCUAGGAUCCUCGGCAAGUACUCAUUAAUCAUUAAGGCCUUUGAUGACAUAGGGGAGACCAUUUCUCAGAAAUUUCCUCCC
Molecule: long non-coding RNA, 2102 nt
Filed under: Mus musculus (house mouse)
Lineage: Eukaryota; Metazoa; Chordata; Mammalia; Rodentia; Muridae
Description: long non-coding RNA chr8:91579287-91581389
Source: RNAcentral